RNAcentral lists this long non-coding RNA (385 nucleotides) under Ananas comosus (pineapple). Its description in RNAcentral is "long non-coding RNA (ACOM_LNC042262)". The record is from RNAcentral. Lineage: Eukaryota; Viridiplantae; Streptophyta; Magnoliopsida; Poales; Bromeliaceae.
UUUUUUUUAACCAUUCUUAUUAAUUACCUAGCUAGAGUGUGUUGCCCGUCAACCAGUCAUAACAACAAAGAGGAAAAUAUUUUACAAUCAUGACAACAAGAAGGAAAUUAUUUCGCCGGUAUAUCAAAUUAUAUAUAUAGAAUUCAUGUUUAGUAAAAUAGAAAAACUAGCAAUAAGGAUCACAACAACUGAAAAAGAACAUUUACCGCAUGUCCUAUAUAAGGAUCAGAUAAAUCCUUUAUUUUUUACUUUGUGUCUUAUUCAGGGAUGUCUCACUAUGACGAUAACUUGCAUGAAGCGAGAGAUAGAAUAUUAACAUCAGAUGAGAAACAUUAAAUGCACAAAACAAAAAUUAGAUGCCGCCUUUCAUAUAACUGCACAAAAG